GGGAGUUGGGUUUGAAUCUUCUCCAAAGCUCUGAAUCGGGGUCAAUGCACUUCAGCUGCUGAGGGGAAGGAGAAAUGCUUCUGUAGGAGGAGGUGCCCUGCCUGAACUCCAGGAAAAUGGAUUACAUGCACAAGUGUAGCUGUGAAAUAAGGAGCCAAAGAAACUGAAGAUCAGACGUGGUUUUAAUUCCCAGUUUUGAAUACCUGGCUUAGGAUGACAGAAAGAGAAGUUCAUGCCCGUUGGUUUUUGCAAGCCAGUGGAUCUGCUUGUCCUCCUUGCAGGAGGGUUGUUUCUUCUCUGAGAGCAAAGAGUAAAGCUGAACAAGUGAUUUUGGGUGCUUCCUGUAAUCCACACUCUCAGAGCCCAAACCCCCAUCAUUAACUCAGCUCUGCAACAGCCUUCUGAGGUGGGGAAGUAGCAAUAUCCCUCUUCUUUAAAAUGGGGAACUUGAACCCAAUGCUGGUAGAAGUCAGAUGGAAAGAUGGUGGCUGCAAUAGAUGUUCUUUGUACAAAAUCCUCUCCCCUGCUUCCUCUGCAGGCUCUCAGGCAGGGGAAGGCUGGCUACACUGGUGCUGCCAGGUUUAUGUGCCUGAAGGAGCUGCAGCCACCAGCCCACAUGAACUGGCACCAGGCCAUGCACUGUCUUCUUUUCAGUCAACCAAACCCUGCCUUGCCCCAGAGUUUUAGCUGUGGGGAUGAAGUGAGUGUGGAAGUGGCAGUUCCUCAUUUUACCUUGGAAGCCAGGGAAUGGGUCAGAAACACCCCCUGGGCUGUGUGGCUGUAUCCUGUGCCAUUUGCUGCCCACUUUGACCCAGCUGCUUGGUGGGGCUUUUGCAGGAGUCACAGGUUUGUGCCACAGCAGCCUGCAGAACAAAGUGAUUGGUUUUGCUCCUUGGCAGGUGGCAGCAGUGAUGCAGGAAAGGUGACAGCAGCAGUGCCAGCAAUGUUAGUGGGGUUUCUUUAUCAGCCUUGCCCAGUAGUGCUUUCUGCACUCGUGGUUAGGUGCUGGUGAUCCAUGGGGUGAUGCAGGUGGUUGAAUCCCUUGUUCUGUGUCCCAGGAGAGGAACAAACAUGUUGGUGACACGAUGCUGGGUGGUCCAAACAAACACAGAGCAGGUGUUGUGGGGCUUGUGGUCAUUCAGCUUCCACCUGAGCAGAGCAGCCCUCACAGAAUGGUUUGGGUUGGGAGGGACCUUAAAGCUCAUCUCAUUGAGCUUUAAGGCAGGGACACCUUGCACUAUCCCAGGUGGCUCCAAGCCCUGUCCAACCCUUCCAGGGAAGCAUCCACAGCUCCUCUGGUCACCCUGUGCCAGGGCCUCACCACCCCUGGGUGCCUCUAAAAUCCAAAGCUGUUGCUGAGAUAGUGCAGCACAUGAGACAAUGACGGUUUAUUUUCUGUCUCCAGUGCCCUCCAGUGUGAGAUCUGUUCCCUGCUGUGCCUCCUGCAGUUGUUUCUCAGCACCUUCUCUGGCUGUUUUCUCAACCCUUUGGAUCAGGGCUUUGAGGACAGUCUGCCUGACACACACUUUGCCUGGGGAACCUGUGUGGGUUCAUGCUGGGUUCAAGGGCUGCUCAUGGUGGUUUGCACUGAUGGGUGUUGACAGGGGUUCAGGUUUGGGCAGAGCAGAGGAGCAGCUCCUGAGGAUGCAGCCCUGAAGGCAAGAAAAAAGAAAAAGAAAAGAAGCAAGCAAAAAUCUGUACCAAAGUACACUGAAAUCAGCAGCUGGCUUUGUCAGAGCAGCCAGGAGCUCUUUUGCUGAAGUGAUUGUCUUGGGAAGAGCCAACAUGUGAGCCACAGACUGGGAUCACACUUGGUUGUGUUGGGUUUUUGUAAUUCUUCCUUGAAGUGAAUUUGGAUCCUGUGUUUUGGCUCAAGUUGGAAAGAGAACAUCAAAAUGAUGAAAUGUCCAAUGUAAGAGGGCAGGGAAAACUGGGUUUCCAGGCUGCCUUUGAUCCUGGCUCACAGCCUUGUCCUGGGCA
Passer domesticus (house sparrow) is the source of this 1980-nucleotide long non-coding RNA. RefSeq lists it as uncharacterized. The transcript is spliced from 2 exons. The record is from RefSeq and is a predicted model, not a curated record. Lineage: Eukaryota; Metazoa; Chordata; Aves; Passeriformes; Passeridae.